AUUGAACGCUGGCGGCAUGCCUUACACAUGCAAGUCGAACGGCAGCACGGGAGCAAUCCUGGUGGCGAGUGGCGAACGGGUGAGUAAUAUAUCGGAACGUGCCCAGUCGUGGGGAUAACGUAGCGAAAGCUACGCUAAUACCGCAUACGAUCUAUGGAUGAAAGCGGGGGAUCGCAAGACCUCGCGCGAUUGGAGCGGCCGAUAUCAGAUUAGGUAGUUGGUGAGGUAAAGGCUCACCAAGCCGACGAUCUGUAGCUGGUCUGAGAGGACGACCAGCCACACUGGGACUGAGACACGGCCCAGACUCCUACGGAGGCAGCAGUGGGGAAUUUUUGGACAAUGGGCGCAAGCCUGAUCCAGCAAUGCCGCGUGCAGGAUGAAGGCCUUCGGUUGUAACUAGCUUUGUACGGUAACGAAACGGUAGUAAGGCG
RNAcentral lists this ribosomal RNA (431 nucleotides) under uncultured bacterium. RNAcentral describes it as "bacterial SSU rRNA". It matches the Rfam family "Bacterial small subunit ribosomal RNA", at positions 30 to 463 of the family's 1533-position model. The record is from RNAcentral.